GAUGAACGCUGGCGGCGUGCCUAAUACAUGCAAGUCGAGCGAACAGACGAGGAGCUUGCUCCUCUGACGUUAGCGGCGGACGGGUGGGUAACACGUGGAUAACCUACCUAUAAGACUGGGAUAACUUCGGGAAACCGGAGCUAAUACCGGAUAACAUGUUGAACCGCAUGGUUCAACAGUGAAAGACGGUCUUGCUGUCACUUAUAGAUGGAUCCGCGCCGCAUUAGCUAGUUGGUAAGGUAACGGCUUACCAAGGCAACGAUGCGUAGCCGACCUGAGAGGGUGAUCGGCCACACUGGAACUGAGACACGGUCCAGACUCCUACGGGAGGCAGCAGUAGGGAAUCUUCCGCAAUGGGCGAAAGCCUGACGGAGCAACGCCGCGUGAGUGAAGAAGGUCUUCGGAUCGUAAAACUCUGUUAUGAGGGAAGAACAAAUGUGUAAGUAACUAUGCACGUCUUGACGGUACCUAAUCAGAAAGCCACGGCUAACUACGUG
Molecule: ribosomal RNA, 497 nt
Filed under: uncultured bacterium
Lineage: Bacteria
Description: partial 16S ribosomal RNA
Rfam family: Bacterial small subunit ribosomal RNA
Source: RNAcentral